This 3743-nucleotide long non-coding RNA is filed under the name Oncorhynchus kisutch (coho salmon). RNAcentral's name for it is "lncRNA (ENSOKIG00005027764.1)". The record is from RNAcentral. Lineage: Eukaryota; Metazoa; Chordata; Actinopteri; Salmoniformes; Salmonidae.
AAGAAUUAUUGUGUGAUUCUAACGAAUCAUUCAUGUCUGCGUUGGAAAAGACCAGACCAGACCAGACCGGUCCAGACCAGACCGGUCCAGACCAGACCGGUCCAGACCAGACCAGUCCAGACCAGACCGGUCCAGACCAGACCAGACCGGUCCAGACCAGACCAGACCAGUCCAGACCAGACCACUGUGGCAGAAUCAUGUUAUCUAUCACUGAUCCUACUGGUCCUCUUCACCAUCAAAGCGCCAACCUGAUCAAAGUGGUUCUGAGUGAGCACAGUUUCUCCAGGGUGGGGGGCUUUGGCACGGAAUUCAAUGUUUCCAAGGUGCUGCUCCACUACAUGUACAUUUACAUGACCUGCGACAACGACAUCAUGCUGCUAAACAUGUGUAUGUGACCAAUAACAUCUGCUAAACAUGCGCAUGUGACCAAUAACAUCUGCUAAACAUGCGCAUGUGACCAAUAACAUCUGCUAAACAUGCGCAUGUGACCAAUAACAUCUGCUAAACAUGUGCAUGUGACCAAUAACAUCUGCUAAACAUGCGCAUGUGACCAAUAACAUCUGCUAACCAUGUGUAUGUGACCAAUAACAUCUGCUAACCAUGUGUAUGUGACCAAUAACAUCUGCUAAACAUGCGCAUGUGACCAAUAACAUCUGCUAACCAUGUGUAUGUGACCAAUAACAUCUGCUAACCAUGUGUAUGUGACCAAUAACAUCUGCUAAACAUGCGCAUGUGACCAAUAACAUCUGCUAACCAUGUGUAUGUGACCAAUAACAUCUGCUAACCAUGUGUAUGUGACCAAUAACAUCUGCUAACCAUGUGUAUGUGACCAAUAACAUCUGCUAACCAUGUGUAUGUGACCAAUAACAUCUGCUAAACAUGCGCAUGUGACCAAUAACAUCUGCUAACCAUGUGUAUGUGAACAAUAACAUCUGCUAAAUAUGUGCAUGUGACCAAUAACAUCUGCUAAACACAUGCAUGUGACCAAUAACAUGUGAUUUGAUUUGAGAGAAGGAAACUGCCAGUACUGGUACUUCAGGAUCACUGACAACAUGCUCUAUGCCGGCUCUAGCUUCAGCUGAGAGAAGAAGAGAUCAUUACAGGCUCUGUUUUAGAGUCCACAACUAGCGUACUACUCAGAAUGAAGGAAUGCAUUGGGCAUGCAUUCUAGGUAGAACGUUAGUAUGGAUAUUGAAAUGUAGCCUGUGUCUGUCAGACUGUCAGUCUUGUGAUCUAUGUUAUGAGUAUGCCAUGUACUGUAUAUCUAUGUAUGCCAAGAAAAUUUGUCUUUGGGAUAUUCAAAUAUUCAAUUGACUUUAAUUCUAUCAGGGUGAUUCUCAUGAAUCCCCCUCAUCUGUAACGGGCACUCUUGGUCAUCAGCUGUGCCAAACCUCUACUUCCCUGGAGUCUACACCAAGAUCAGGAAAUACCUUAGCUGGAUCGACUGCAUCAUCCAGAAAGACAGCUAGCGACGCCAUCUUGUUUUUGGUCCUCUCCUUUCUGAAGAUCCAAAUGGGAUCAACUGAUAAAGUAUCAGUAUAGGACACAGAGACUGAACUACCUGCUGUAAAUAAUUACCACCUGUUUUUUGUUUUUUUACAACAAUACAUUUAUGUCUAUUUUCUCUCCUACGGCUACUGAUGACUGUAUAGGUACAAUACCUGUAUAAUAGCGAUAGGUAUUGUCUUGUUACUAAUAGUGCUAUCAGCUGACAAACUGAAGUAGAGAUGUGAUCGACCUACAGGCCAUGUAAUCAUUUGUUGAAUAAGGAAAGCGUGUGCGUGACCAACAUGAAAGGGACUCGUUGUGUUUGUACCCCUUACAUCCACUGAGAAACAUCAGGAAAAUAGGCACAGGUUGGUUUAUUUAGAUCAGUCACCAAAUAGAAAUCAUGUUUAAGACACAAUAAAUCUUCUGUGUUGGCUCUGUCAGGUGACAUAUUUCCCUCUAUAUCAUAUUUUGAUUAAUACAGUGCCAUGGAAAAGUAUUCAGACCCCUUGACUUUUUCCACAUUUUGUUAGGUUACUGCCUUAUUCUAAAAUGGUUAUUUCCCCUCAUUAAUCUACACACAAUACCCCAUAAUGACAAAGCAAAAACAUGUUUUCAGAAAUUUGUACUAAUUUAUUAAAAGUAUUAAAAAAAAUGAAAUAUAAUAUUUACAUUAGUAUUCAGAUCCUUUACUCAGUACUUUGUUGAAGCAUCUUUGGCAGCGAUUACAGCCAGGAGUCUUCUUGGGUAUGACGCUACAAGCUUGGCACACCUGUAUUUGGGAAGUUUUUCCCAUUGUUCUCUCCAGAUCCUCUCAAGCUCUGUCAGGUUGGCUGGGGAGCGUUGCUGACAAGCUAUUUUCAGAUCUCUUCAGAGAUGUUCGAUCGGGUUCAAGUCUGGGCUCUGCCUGGGCCAUUCAAGGACAUUCAGAGACUUGUCCCGAAUCCACUCCUGCGUUGUCUUGGCUGUGUACUUAGGGUUGUUGUCCUGUUGGAAGGUGAACCUUCACCCCAGUCUGAGGUCCUGAGCGCUUUGGAGCAGGUUUUUAUCAAGGAUCUCUCAGUACUUUGCUCCGUUCAUCUUUCCCUCGAUCCUGACUAGUCUCCCAGACCCUGCUGCUAAAAAACAUCCCCACAGCAUGAUGCUGCCACCACCAUGCUUCACCGUAGGGAUGGUGCCAGGUUUCCUCCAGACGUGACGCUUGGCAUUCAGGCCAAAGAGUUCAAUCUUGAUUUCAUCAGACAAUAGAAUGUUUUGGCAAACUCCAAGCUGGCAGUCAUGUGCCUUUUACUGAAGAGUGGCUUCUGUCUGGCCACUCCACCAUAAAGGCCUGAUUGUGGAGUGCUGCAGAGAUGGUUGUCCUUCUGGAAGGUUCUCUAGAGGAACUCUAGAGCUCUGUCAGAGUGACCAUCGGGUUCUUGGUGACCUCCCUGACCAUGGCCCUUCUCCCCCAAUUGCUCAGUUGAGCUGGGCGGUCAGCUCUAGAAAGAGUCUUGGUGGUUCCAAACUUCAACCAUUUCAGAAUGAUGGAGGCCACUGUGUUCUUUGGGAUCUUCAAUACUGCAGGCAUUUUUGGUACCCUUCCCCAGAUCUGUGCCUCGACACAAUCCUGUCUACAGACAAUUCCUUAGACCUCAUGGCUUGGAUUUUGCUCUGACAUGCACUGUCAAUUGUGGGACCUCAUAUAGACAGGUGUGUGCCUUUCCAAAUCAUGUCCAAUCAAUUGAAUUUACCACAGGUAGAAUCCAAUCAAGUUGUAGAGACAUCUCAAGGACGAUCAAUGGAAACAGGAUGCACCUGAGCUCAAUUUCGAGUUUCAUAGCAAAGGGUCUGAAUGCAGAAAUAAGGUAUUUCUGUUUUUAUUUAUAAUACAUUAGGAAAAAUGUCCAAUAACCUGUUUUCGCUUUGUCAUUAUGGGGAAUUGUGAUGUCAUUAUGGGGUAUUGAGAUGUCAUUAUGGAGUAUUGUGAGGUCAUUAUGUAACGUAACAAAAUGUGGAAAAAGUCAAGGGGUCUGAAUACUUUUCCAAGGCACUGUAUGUGACUUAGUACGUCUUAGAAAACACUUUAAACAUCCUGUUAAUUUCAUCUGUUGAGAGAUAACAGACACUGAUGCAUCAUCUGCAUGUUUCUAAGGGAGUUUCCCAUGUCUCUACUAUGGGACAGUAAAACAAUAAAGAUUCAUAUUUUUACCAAGCUGUUCCAUUACUAAUCAGUAGCUACUCAUCAACAAAACAAAAGAUAUUUUUAUCAGCAC